RNAcentral lists this long non-coding RNA (792 nucleotides) under Homo sapiens (human). RNAcentral describes it as "long intergenic non-protein coding RNA 293". The record is from RNAcentral. Lineage: Eukaryota; Metazoa; Chordata; Mammalia; Primates; Hominidae.
UGGUACUGCACAGAACAGACAUUGUGACAUAUAUCUAGGCAAAUUGCCUAGAAGUGAAUCCCCUCUCCUGCUUAAGUCCUUCCCACAGAGAGCGGUUUGAUAUGUCACUGAAACCAGCAUCCAGGUGGUAUUGCUCCAUAUGCCUGAGACCCUAACAAAAGCCUAAUUACAACUCAUAUGCCUGGAGCCAGGACAUGUGCAGGAUGCCAUGAUGGUCCAAGUUAUAUUGGGAUUCAGCCAAUAGAAGAUAUUUUGCCUGUCAUCCCUAAGCUUAGGACAAUAGGGUCCUGCCCACAAGAAAGAUUGUGACAUCUCACUGGACAAGCACCCACCCAGACUCUGCCAAGAGAGGGGAUUAUUACAUAUUGCAGAGCCCAGCACCUAGGUGGAGUGACUCUCAUCUUUUUCUUCUACCCCGUAUAUAGCCAGCUUGGUGACCUACUAUUUGAGUCUAUACCCAGGCCCAGACCACAGAUGAAAUUGUGCAAUAUGUGGAACAAACACCUAAACAAUAUAUAACACCUUCCUUGGCUCUGUCUACAAAGGGCACUUUUAUAUAUCACUGGGACCAUCAACCAGGUGAUGUUAAUUAUCUUCCUGAAACCUGUCUACAAAGAGAGUUGUGUCGUAUACCUAGGCCCGUCAUGUAAGUGAUGUCAGUCCCUUCUACUGCCUUGGCCCUGCACUUACAGUGCAUUGUGACACAUAACAAGGUACUGCACACAGACGAUGUGAUUCUCCUUUUUGGGUUCUGCCAAAAGGAAGCAUUGUAAUAAAUCGCUUGGCUCAGUA